UUGAUGAUACACGUUCUUCCGAGGCA
Molecule: non-coding RNA, 26 nt
Filed under: Rattus norvegicus (Norway rat)
Lineage: Eukaryota; Metazoa; Chordata; Mammalia; Rodentia; Muridae
Source: RNAcentral